This 28-nucleotide small RNA is filed under the name Bombyx mori (domestic silkworm). RNAcentral's name for it is "ovarian small RNA-26878". The record is from RNAcentral. Lineage: Eukaryota; Metazoa; Arthropoda; Insecta; Lepidoptera; Bombycidae.
UCCAGUCGCGGAUACGACGUGCGAUGGC